Molecule: ribosomal RNA, 1373 nt
Filed under: uncultured bacterium
Lineage: Bacteria
Description: bacterial SSU rRNA
Rfam family: Bacterial small subunit ribosomal RNA
Source: RNAcentral
CAUGCAGUCGAACGGUGAAGCCUUCGGGUGGAUCAGUGGCGAACGGGUGAGUAACACGUGAGCAACCUGCCCCUGACUCUGGGAUAACUCCGGGAAACCGGGGCUAAUACCGGAUACGACCUCGUGGCGCAUGCCGUGGGGUGGAAAGUUUUUCGGUUGGGGAUGGGCUCGCGGCCUAUCAGCUUGUUGGUGGGGUGAUGGCCUACCAAGGCGACGACGGGUAGCCGGCCUGAGAGGGUGACCGGCCACACUGGGACUGAGACACGGCCCAGACUCCUACGGGAGGCAGCAGUGGGGAAUAUUGCGCAAUGGGCGAAAGCCUGACGCAGCGACGCCGCGUGAGGGAUGAAUGCCUUCGGGUUGUAAACCUCUUUCAGCAGGGAAGAAGCGAAAGUGACGGUACCUGCAGAAGAAGCACCGGCUAACUACGUGCCAGCAGCCGCGGUAAUACGUAGGGUGCAAGCGUUGUCCGGAAUUAUUGGGCGUAAAGAGCUCGUAGGCGGUCUGUCGCGUCUGCUGUGAAAACUCAGGGCUUAACCCUGAGCUUGCAGUGGGUACGGGCAGACUAGAGUGCAGUAGGGGAGACUGGAAUUCCUGGUGUAGCGGUGAAAUGCGCAGAUAUCAGGAGGAACACCGGUGGCGAAGGCGGGUCUCUGGGCUGUAACUGACGCUGAGGAGCGAAAGCGUGGGGAGCGAACAGGAUUAGAUACCCUGGUAGUCCACGCCGUAAACGUUGGGCGCUAGGUGUGGGUCUCAUUCCACGAGGUCUGUGCCGCAGCUAACGCAUUAAGCGCCCCGCCUGGGGAGUACGGCCGCAAGGCUAAAACUCAAAGGAAUUGACGGGGCCCCGCACAAGCGGCGGAGCAUGCGGAUUAAUUCGAUGCAACGCGAAGAACCUUACCAAGGCUUGACAUUCAAGGUAAUCUCCUGGAAACGGGAGGUCCGCAAGGGAUCUUGAACAGGUGGUGCAUGGUUGUCGUCAGCUCGUGUCGUGAGAUGUUGGGUUAAGUCCCGCAACGAGCGCAACCCUCGUUCUAUGUUGCCAGCGCGUGAUGGCGGGGACUCAUAGGAGACUGCCGGGGUCAACUCGGAGGAAGGUGGGGAUGACGUCAAAUCAUCAUGCCCCUUAUGUCUUGGGCUUCACGCAUGCUACAAUGGCCAGUACAAAGGGCUGCGAGACCGCGAGGUGGAGCGAAUCCCAAAAAGCUGGUCUCAGUUCGGAUCGGGGUCUGCAACUCGACCCCGUGAAGUCGGAGUCGCUAGUAAUCGCAGAUCAGCAACGCUGCGGUGAAUACGUUCCCGGGGCUUGUACACACCGCCCGUCACGUCACGAAAGUCGGUAACACCCGAAGCCGAUGGCCCAACCACUUGUG